GCGUCGGUGGUGCAGCGGUCAGCAUAUGCACCCGGAAAAGAGUGAGAUCUAGGUUGGAAUCCCGGCUGACGCA
Parelaphostrongylus tenuis is the source of this 73-nucleotide non-coding RNA. Lineage: Eukaryota; Metazoa; Nematoda; Chromadorea; Rhabditida; Metastrongylidae. The record is from the annotation of a GenBank genome assembly.